Molecule: non-coding RNA, 90 nt
Organism: Mycena sp. CBHHK59/15
Lineage: Eukaryota; Fungi; Basidiomycota; Agaricomycetes; Agaricales; Mycenaceae
Source: the annotation of a GenBank genome assembly
GGCGUCAUAGCUCAGUUGGGAGAGCAGCAGACUGAAGUCGAUGUUUCUUUCGGAAUCUGAAGGUCCCGUGUUCAAGCCACGGUGAUGCCA